Molecule: unclassified non-coding RNA, 337 nt
Filed under: soil metagenome
Description: partial contains 5.8S ribosomal RNA, internal transcribed spacer 2, and large subunit ribosomal RNA
Rfam family: 5.8S ribosomal RNA (bases 1-120)
Source: RNAcentral
GAUGAAGAACGCAGCGAAAUGCGAUAAGUAAUGUGAAUUGCAGAAUUCAGUGAAUCAUCGAAUCUUUGAACGCACAUUGCGCCCGCCAGUAUUCUGGCGGGCAUGCCUGUUCGAGCGUCAUUUCAACCAUCAAGCCCCCGGGCUUGUGUUGGGGACCUGCGGCUGCCGCAGGCCCUGAAAAGCAGUGGCGGGCUCGCUGUCACACCGAGCGUAGUAGAUUUUAUCUCGCUCAGGGCGUGCUGCGGGUUCCGGCCGUUAAACCACCUUCAUAAUCCAAGGUUGACCUCGGAUCAGGUAGGAAGACCCGCUGAACUUAAGCAUAUCAAUAAGCGGAGGA